CCUCAAACUAAUUGAAUGGCUCCAAAAGAAAAAAAUACUGAGAUGGAAAGUCAAGUGCAACCGGUGUCAUCACAAAAUGAAGCUGAAGAAAAAGAUGGUGGAUCUGUGGACCGAUUUGAAUGCUUGAUUUCAUGAUGGACAACAUUGCUGCAUCCUCAAGAACCCUUUCAAGAAUGGCAAAGCAACGGGAGGUCUGCGUGACAGCGAUGGAGAGGCUGCAUCAUAGAGAAGGACAGAGAAUUGGGGGAAGGAGCAUUUCGUGGUGAUAGAUGAGUCACUUCAGACAUAAAAGAAAGUAUGGAAGGGGCAGGAUGGCUGGGGGCUGGAAGCGGAGGAAGUGGGUGUUCGGGAUGCUGGGGGUGCAAAGCACGCGGA
Cololabis saira (Pacific saury) is the source of this 375-nucleotide long non-coding RNA. RefSeq lists it as uncharacterized. Lineage: Eukaryota; Metazoa; Chordata; Actinopteri; Beloniformes; Belonidae. The transcript has 3 exons. The record is from RefSeq and is a predicted model, not a curated record.